Molecule: small nuclear RNA, 325 nt
Filed under: Myotis brandtii (Brandt's bat)
Lineage: Eukaryota; Metazoa; Chordata; Mammalia; Chiroptera; Vespertilionidae
Description: 7SK RNA
Rfam family: 7SK RNA
About the family: 7SK was discovered as an abundant small nuclear RNA in the mid-70s but a possible function has only recently been suggested. Two independent studies have found that 7SK RNA binds the CDK9/cyclin T complex (known as elongation factor P-TEFb).
Source: Rfam by way of RNAcentral
GGAUGUGAGGGCGAUCUGGCUGCGACAUCUGUCACCCCAUUGAUCGCCAGGGUUGAUUCGGCUGAUCUGGCUGGCUAGGCGGGUGUCCCCCUCCUCCCUCAGGGAUCCAUGUGUGUCCCCCCCGAAGCUGCACGCUCGGUUGAAGAGGACGACCUUCCCGCCAGAGGAGAGGACCGGUCUUCGGUCAAGGGUAUACGAGUAGCUGCGCUCCCCUGCUAGAACCUCCAAACAAGCUCUAAAAAUGUAUCUCUAAGUCAAAUAAAAAUAGGGGUAAGUUUGUAUAAGAUCUAUAGGAAAUUCUGUUCCUAAAGGCCUAAAGAACUCU